UGGGGAAUAUUGGACAAUGGGCGAAAGCCUGAUCCAGCCAUGCCGCGUGUGUGAAGAAGGCCUUAUGGUUGUAAAGCACUUUAAGUGGGGAGGAAAAGCUUAUGGUUAAUACCCAUAAGCCCUGACGUUACCCACAGAAUAAGCACCGGCUAACUCUGUGCCAGCAGCCGCGGUAAUACAGAGGGUGCAAGCGUUAAUCGGAAUUACUGGGCGUAAAGCGCGCGUAGGUGGUUAUUUAAGUCAGAUGUGAAAGCCCCGGGCUUAACCUGGGAACUGCAUCUGAUACUGGAUAACUAGAGUAGGUGAGAGGGGAGUAGAAUUCCAGGUGUAGCGGUGAAAUGCGUAGAGAUCUGGAGGAAUACCGAUGGCGAAGGCAGCUCCCUGGCAUCAUACUGACACUGAGGUGCGAAAGCGUGGGUAGCAAACAGGAUUAGAUACCCUGGUAGUCCACGCCGUAAACGAUGUCUACCAGUCGUUGGGUCUUUUAAAGACUUAGUGACGCAGUUAACGCAAUAAGUAGACCGCCUGGGGAGUACGGCCGCAAGGUUA
RNAcentral lists this ribosomal RNA (549 nucleotides) under uncultured bacterium. RNAcentral's name for it is "bacterial SSU rRNA". It matches the Rfam family "Bacterial small subunit ribosomal RNA", at positions 355 to 896 of the family's 1533-position model. The record is from RNAcentral.